Molecule: ribosomal RNA, 253 nt
Filed under: uncultured bacterium
Lineage: Bacteria
Description: partial 16S ribosomal RNA
Rfam family: Bacterial small subunit ribosomal RNA
Source: RNAcentral
GACAGAGGGUGCAAACGUUGUUCGGAUUUACUGGGCGUAAAGCGCGUGUAGGCGGCUUUGUAAGCCAGAUGUGAAAGCCCCGGGCUUAACCUGGGAAUGGCAUUUGGGACUGCAAGGCUUGAGUGCGGCAGAGGAGACUGGAAUUCCCGGUGUAGCAGUGAAAUGCGUAGAUAUCGGGAGGAAUACCGAUGGCGAAGGCAGGUCUCUGGGCUGACACUGACGCUCAUGCACGAAAGCGUGGGGAGCAAACAGG